RNAcentral lists this small RNA (27 nucleotides) under Bombyx mori (domestic silkworm). RNAcentral's name for it is "piRNA piR-bmo-1451606". The record is from RNAcentral. Lineage: Eukaryota; Metazoa; Arthropoda; Insecta; Lepidoptera; Bombycidae.
AAACGAAUAAAACUCGUACGGUCUCCC